UGUGCUGUCUGACUAGUGACGCC
RNAcentral lists this unclassified non-coding RNA (23 nucleotides) under Mus musculus (house mouse). RNAcentral describes it as "oocyte_clustered_small_RNA12661". The record is from RNAcentral. Lineage: Eukaryota; Metazoa; Chordata; Mammalia; Rodentia; Muridae.